Molecule: ribosomal RNA, 249 nt
Filed under: uncultured Trichococcus sp.
Lineage: Bacteria; Bacillati; Bacillota; Bacilli; Lactobacillales; Carnobacteriaceae
Description: partial 16S ribosomal RNA
Rfam family: Bacterial small subunit ribosomal RNA
Source: RNAcentral
UAGGGAAUCUUCCGCAAUGGACGAAAGUCUGACGGAGCAACGCCGCGUGAGUGAAGAAGGUUUUCGGAUCGUAAAACUCUGUUGUCAGAGAAGAACAAGUCGGAGAGUAACUGCUCCGACCUUGACGGUAUCUGACCAGAAAGCCACGGCUAACUACGUGCCAGCAGCCGCGGUAAUACGUAGGUGGCAAGCGUUGUCCGGAUUUAUUGGGCGUAAAGCGAGCGCAGGCGGUUCCUUAAGGCUGAUGUG